GCUCAGGGGCCUCUGGGAACCACUAAUCAGAUGGAGGAGACUGGCUUCCUCGGCAACCACAGACCACUUUUCAAACAUUUCCAUCAAUUAAACGCCAUUACCAGCUUGGGAAUAUGACAGACACCCACAGAAAACACUUGUUAUCAAACCGUACCACUAAGAUAGGCAACUUCACCAGCAGACGGAGAGAGCUCUUCAGUCACUCCUGAGAUACCUGGAAAAGCCACAGGCGGUGUUGCCCCAGCAACAUUCUAGAAGAACAAUUCUUGACCCAGAUGAGAGGGGAAGGCAGGCGAUGUGAAAUUUAUAAAGCAGAAUGAAGCUGACCCAGGAAGAGAUGGUGUAACUGUGCAGCUGUCAGACCGCUCGUUCUUCACCCUGUGCAGUACUUAGAGCAAUUCUAAAUCCCAGGCUGGGCUGUUGUACUGUUUUAACCGGGCUGAGCUUCCGUCGCCUGCCCGCAUAGGGUGCAGAGAUACAAGCCAAUUCAGCAAGAUUUCCAGUAUAGGGGGACCAGGGCUCCUUGCUCCCCAAGGGCCAUGCAUGAAACACAAAGGAGCCGGCAUUAGUGACGAAGGUUGAGAGGUCUCCAAGGGAUGUGAGAGCUGCAGUCUAGACCAAUAAACCUCCUUCCACAGUGAGCAAAUGGGUCCAGAUUCGGGAUGGCCACACAUGACUUGAAAAUGCCACCUAGGACCUAGAGGACCUCAGAGACCACCAACACAAUGAACAGGGCCUGCUGGCAAGGAUCCAAACACCCUUCUUCCAAAUGUUAUGAGGUCACCCACACCCUCUAGACAGCUUCUCAGAUAAAAGAGAGAAGGGCAGAGAACUCUGGAAGGCUGAACGGCAUCCAAGUCAAAAUUACAUAAACUCAGAUUAUUCAGAGACAACCCAUCUUCAUUUUUCUCUGAUGGCUCUCAUCUCCCUUUUGAGACCUUACACAUGGUCAGCAGGAAUAAAACCUCACAUUUAGUCUCAUCAGAUAAAGGUAGAUGAUUUGAUGGAGACAUUAACAGAUUCUCUUUGGAUGAUGCCACCGUUAAUAUGGGUUUAUGUAAUUUUGUGAUCUUGCUCUGGAGGUGUCUGUGUGCAUACAAGUAUCUCCCUCCCUCUCACUCUCUAACACAAACACACACACACACACACACAACUAAGUGAGAGAAAGGGAGAUUGGACCAUAAGGAUACCAAUAUUGGAACUGAUUCUUCCUUGAAAAUUGGUUUCUAGAAACGUUAUUCUUUUUUUCUUCUUUGAAUUCUAUGAAUGCUGAUUCAUAUCUUCUAAAUUUAGCGCAAUAAACCUACUUUUAAAAAACUU
Molecule: long non-coding RNA, 1320 nt
Organism: Suricata suricatta (meerkat)
Lineage: Eukaryota; Metazoa; Chordata; Mammalia; Carnivora; Herpestidae
Exons: 2
Source: RefSeq, a predicted model, not a curated record